Long non-coding RNA from Tupaia belangeri chinensis (Chinese tree shrew), 529 nucleotides. RefSeq lists it as uncharacterized. The transcript has 3 exons. The record is from RefSeq and is a predicted model, not a curated record. NCBI's taxonomy places the organism in Eukaryota, Metazoa, Chordata, Mammalia, Scandentia, Tupaiidae.
GUCAGAUAGGGAUAAAAAUAUCAGUUUGUGGUGGUCAACUAGAUAGGAAAAUGAGGGUAAGCUGCUGACAAAAAGCCCUAUGCAGCGAGAGACUGAGGGAGGCCUCCAGCCCGUGACACAGGAGGAACUGAGUGCCGCCAGCAACCAUUGUGAGUGAGCUCCGUGGAGCCUGGAGAGGAGACUGCAGCCCUUGGUGACACCUGAACCGAAGACUCAGCUGAGAUACAUCUGGGUUCCUGCCCCACAGAAACCAAAGAUAAUGGAGAAGGCCUCAUGGUCAUGACUGUUGAGCCCCCACUGACUGCAAAAUGGAAAUAGUGAGCUGAGAAAAUUCAAAAAGUUGCCUGUGUAAACACAGUUUUUUAUAAUGGUCAGAAGAGACAUGACUAUUGGGUCCAUUUUAAUUACUUUAGCCAUUCUGCCCAACCUUCCCUGCCCCGCGAUCAUUUCAGCAAUUUUUUGCAUAGCAGCCAAGUUUUCCUGUCCCCACUAACUCUGUGUGGUCUGCAGCAUGAUAAACCAUCACUCA